Long non-coding RNA from Triticum dicoccoides, 199 nucleotides. RefSeq lists it as uncharacterized. NCBI's taxonomy places the organism in Eukaryota, Viridiplantae, Streptophyta, Magnoliopsida, Poales, Poaceae. The record is from RefSeq and is a predicted model, not a curated record. The transcript has 4 exons.
CUAUCAUUGAAGUUUGCAAUGGGAUUACAUUUCUUGACCUUAUUGUGAUUCAGAUUGAGUCCCUGAACAAGAAGUAUGGAUGCAGUGUUCCUUUGCUUCUAAUGAACUCUUUCAAAACUCAUGAUGACACACAGAUGAUUGUUGAGAAGUACUCCAACUCCAACAUUGAAAUUCACACUUUCAACCAGAGCCAAUACCA